UGUGACGGUGCUGGGAAGAUGGCGUCGCCGAGUGCGGGUGCAGAUUUGGAGCAGUCUUUGUUGAGCUUCGAGAAACUAGAUCGAGCUUCACCAGAUUUAUGGCCAGAACAAAUGCCAGGGGUAGCAGAAUUUGCAGCAUCUUUCAAGAGUCCUAUUACCAGCUCUCCACCCAAGUGGAUGGCAGAACUUGAGAAAGAUGACAUUGACAUGCUUAAAGAAUUGGGAAGUCUUACUACUGCUAACUUAAUGGAGAAGGUACGAGGACUACAGAAUCUUGCUUACCAGUUAGGACUGGACGAAUGAUCCCAAGGCUUCAGCUGCACAAUUGCCCACCACCCAGACUCUGAACUGACACCCUCCUGUCUCCCAGAAGUCUUCUUUUGCUAAAACUUGAGUGCGCUGUGACCAGGAACAACUUUAUGAUUAAGCACUUUGAGUGCUUUAAAAAUUGAUACUUUUAAAAGGUGCUUAAGGAACUUAAAGGUUUUGGCUGACAGCAAGGAGCAAGCAGGACUCAGAUGGUAUGGCACCUCAUAGCAUGGGAAUGCAAAUCUCAGGAGCUGGGAGGAUGGCAAGGGCCUGUAAUGGAUCCGUUGUUGAGGAUCACUGUUCGCAUAUCAUCAUGAAGCAGGUGAAGGAUGGUAGUGAAUCUUGGAGAACAUCCAUACUUCAGCAGAAUCUCCCAGAGUGCCUCACGAUUUACAGAGUCAACAGCCUUUAAUCAAGAGAUGCUGCCAGAGCUGCUGAAUUUUUCUAGCAUUUUCUGUUUUCCGAUUUCCAGCAUCCGCAGUAUAUAACUAGAGAACAGUCUAUUUCUGAUCAGGUGAAAGCCCGAGAAAUGACCAGAGGGAAAUUUUUAAACAUUCUGGAGCGGCCCAAGAAGUAGCUGUAAAAUUCCAACCACUUGCUUUUGCAAGAAGACCCAGCACUUAUUCAGAGACAGUUACUGUCCAUUGCAGACCCACAGAUGCCUUCCUCGGCUAAUCCUUCACAUAUCACCUGUUCCAACAGCCUUUUACAAUAGAACAACACAAGAUCCCAUUUUGUGGAUAACUUACCUUUUGGCCUGUAAGGCAAAUUGUUCUUAAAUGGAAACGGAGACCACAGUUCACAUUUGGUUGGUGUAAAAGGGACAGAAUUUGGUUUGUUUUGUGCAUGUCAAUUAAUGAUAUCAUUAUACUGUGCUAUACUAAUCUAGAUGUAUUUCCCAUAGUAUGUUUAGAAUUUGGUAUUCCCCUUUAACAUGCAGUGAAAUAAAUCCUGACGUUGCAGUUGAGGUUACGCACAACAAUAGCACUUUAGUUCAAGACAUGUGAUUCUAUCAGUACAUGUCCAUGUUUGGGUAACAAGUAAUCGUAUACCUGGUGGGGGGAGCAUUGCAAAAAAUAAAUUGCCUGGAUAUAGAAUAAAACUGCUUUCCACAAACCCCACCUAUGUAUAUUAUACAGAAUAAUUCAAAAUGGAGCUUGUUUCGUAAGAUGUAACAAACUCUGUGGUUUGAUAGAUCUUUUAAAAUUCUCUCUUAUGGUUUGUGAGGCCAUCUCAAACCUUUGCUGUAUUUUUGCCUUUUAACACAUUGCUGUGUAUGUGUUAUUGAAAUACAGUGAUAACGUAGAUAAACUCUCUGUUGAAAUGAUUGUGUAUUGCAGUGGUACCUUAAGGAGUGAUAGAUCAACAGAGAAAGGUUUAGAUUGAAAUGUCCAAAAAAAAUACUCAUGCUGGCAUUGGAAUACAUUUCCCACCUAAAUGUCACAGAACUGUGACCACCAAACAAAAUAAAACAUGGAUAUUUUGUUCUAAAUUAAACAAAUAACGUGCCAGCUUCAUUAUGAAGCUAUUAAAAAAGGUGUCAUUGCCAGACAGAAAUAAUUUUGUUCUAGAGAAGAAAGAUGUGAAAUUUUCAGAAGCAGUAAUUGUAUCCAAGAAUGCCUAUCGGUGUGCAUCAACAAUGGGUUAAGCGGUAUUGUUUAAAUGAAUGAUUUAUGUCUGCUUUGUAAGGAAAUAACUUUGAAUAUUCCACUGAUUUUUAUUCUUUUGCUAUUACAAGAAAAUAUUAGGACACAUUCAGUUAGUAACCCUGGAAGAAAUACUAUUCUUGAUUUUAUUUGCCCUUUCCCUGGGCCACAUCUGACUUCCUCAUGGCUACCAAAGUUAUGUCCUGUGAUUGACCUGCAAGAGGUAUAAUUCAGGUGGUUUACAAACUGCUAAGAGAACGAUUUAAAUUUGGGAGGGGACUGGUAUUAAGAAAACAAAUAUAUUUUAAACUAAAUUUUAAUCCAAGAUUUUACAUUUUAGUCGAGAACAUGAAGAUAAGUAAGUGAUAUACUUGAUCACAAUGUCACAACUGAGAUAGUGUCACUUCGGAGGGGGAGCAUGCUGGGAGCUCAGCCUUUCAGAUAGCAUUUCAAAUUGUUGAUUGUUGCAUACAAUCCUGUUCAGCCCAGUCUCAUCGACACACUCUUUGGGUUUGCUCCUUGCAGGCUUCUGGUAUACUGGAGACCAUCCUUUAAGGAUGCAGCCUGGUAAUUGAUGCACAAGGCUGAGCUGAAGUCUGAUUUUAGGACUGAGGUCUAGGGUAAAGUCAUAGGAUUAGAAAGGACAAACUUGCUGGAAACUUUGACCAGAGUAGUGGUCUAGAGCUAUCCCAAACAUGAGGAGCUUAUGUCUUAAGUGUUUACUUGUAAAGGUUUGGACAUUUUGUUUCAAUUGUAUGAAUCAUUGAAGCCUCCUUCCACCCCUUUAAUGAUCUUUAACAGACCAUUGAUGUUCCAAGUAUUAGUCUCAAGCUUUUGUUUUCCAGGUUUUAUUUAGAAUUUGAAACUGGACCUACUUUCAUGUCUUGUGCACAAAUGAGUGGAAUGUUUCUACAAUAUAUUUUAUUUUUGAAUUAAUAAACGUGCAUUAUUUUUAAAAAAAAAA
Carcharodon carcharias (great white shark) is the source of this 2919-nucleotide RNA transcript. It is a transcript of the gene named lin-52 DREAM MuvB core complex component, with no coding region annotated. The transcript has 9 exons. The record is from RefSeq and is a predicted model, not a curated record. Lineage: Eukaryota; Metazoa; Chordata; Chondrichthyes; Lamniformes; Lamnidae.